This is a non-coding RNA of Aegilops tauschii subsp. strangulata, 5587 nucleotides long. Lineage: Eukaryota; Viridiplantae; Streptophyta; Magnoliopsida; Poales; Poaceae. The record is from RefSeq and is a predicted model, not a curated record.
AGCGCAAAAAACACCGCACCGCGCGAGGGACGAAAACGGCAUCGAACCCUAGCCCCAAUCCACAGCCCCACGUCCCUCGCUCCUUCCUCCCUCACCCGCCGCCGCUCCCUCCCACCUCCUCCUCCUCCUCCUUCUUCUGCGCCCUCGGAGCCCCGCCGCCGGCUGCUACUCCUCCACCGCCUCGCCUCUUCCUCCUCCCCGCCUUCCCAUCGCUCGCGUGCAGGCCAUCGUGGCCACACGCUUCGUGGGCGAACCCGACCGGCCCGUCGCUGUUGGCUCGAGCUGUUGGGAAGAGGGAGGAGUCCCGAGACAGGGUGAAGGCGCAGGCCGUGCCUGGUGAGGCGGCGCCGCCGGCCAUGGGACGCUGGACCUCGGGGAGCCCCAUCCCAGGCCCGCGCCCAAAUUCUUGAGCAAGGGAGGAUAGAUCGACGAUGGCGCAUCACAUAAGGGAAUGGGAGAUCGAGGAGAAGGGAGACGAGGGUGGGUGGUGGCUUGCAGCAUGGGGCGGUCACGUCCAAUGAGGGUGGUGUUCUGUGGAUCUGGUGCCCCCUCUCCUUUGGCGACCUCCUCCUCAAGCGUUUCAGGUGAAAUGCGGUGAGGAGCAAUGCACACGCAGCCAAUGGAUGGGAUGGUGCUGCUACUGGGCAGUCUAGGACAUCCAGUGGUUGGAGUGGGGGCUCUGUUCUGUGAGCUGACCGCUCCGUCACGAACAAGCAACCAUCUGCGGCCUUGCAAGGGUCGACACCGCCAUUGCCGCCUCAUCUGUCCUUUCCAGAUGCCAUGGUCUCCUCUCCUCUACAGAGACCUCCUCAUCUGCUGCCGAUGGCUGUGAGUUCACGGCUGCUCCGGAGCUCCAACGAGCCAAGCUGUGUGCAAAUCCGACAAAGAAGAGAAAAGGAAGAAUAUUGAGGAAGAGUUUUGGUGAAGAAGAACAAGUGGAAGGAUCGGUUUUUAUGGCAUGCACUACAAAGGAGAGAAGUGGACCAUGUGAACGUAGUACAACAUUGUUGUUAGUUCGCGCAGUCGAGGUCUGCUCAGGAAGACACAGUUCGACCGAACAGCUGUUGUGUUUUCCCAGUUGUUUGCAAAUCUGACGAAAAGGAGCAAAGAAAGAAUAUUGAGGAAUAUUUAGGUAAAGAAGAACAAGUGCAUUUAUGUUGCUUCCUGCAAGGUCAAUGAUAUGGUGCCAGCUGGAAUUCAUAUUCAAGCUAAUACAGUGACUAAAUUUGGCGAGCGAGUGCCUGAUCAUGAUCUGCGGGAGGGUAACGGUUAUUAUAAUAAUUGAGUGUACCCAAUGGAGGCUGCAUUACAUAAUUAAUGGGAGGGUAAGGGCGUCCAUAGUUUUCAUUGAACUACUGCAGUUUCCAACUGAAUUUUCAUUUGCAGAUUCCGAAGAACGGAGUUCUAGGUUCUAACCAUGUCGCUUCCAUUUGUUGUAUUCUGAGAAUAAAUCUUGUUCUAUAUCCCUGCAUUGUUAUCCACCGGACUCUAAAACAAAAAUCAAUGUUUGCACAUCCAGACAAGUCCAAGAACAACAAUUGCUCUUUGUUGUGGCAUUGCUGGAGAAAUACAAAUGUAUAUACCCGUUUCCCACUGUCCAGUCGAGGAGAUCCCUGAGGCAUUUGAUUCUUGUGGGACUCCAACACAUCUUACAGGAUCAUCAACAAGUGGCCGGGCCUCUGCAUUACUCAGAAAAGCUUCCGACAGUUUCCGAUUCAAAAGAAAACAAAUAAGAAAGGAUGCAUUGAUUAUUUUGGGUUGAUCUUGUUUGAAUUUCCAGUGAAAUUCAAACUUGAGACCUUACUCGAAGUAUUUAGUUCCAAUGGAACUAAAUGAAUUUCCCAAAAUGCCUCUUUGGGUAUUAGUUGCAUUUUUAUUUGGAUCCUUGUAUAUUCAAACAGUUUCUGAUUCAAAAGACAACAACAGUGAGAAGAUAAAAUGAUUAAGCAACACCCAAAUAGUGGUCGCAGCAGAUCUCUCUCUCAUUCUCUUUCCAGUUUGGUUGACCAUUCUUUCUGUUCUUAGGUCUUUGAUCUGCUUUCUUCUUCAAUGAAGUAGACCACGAUCUCCUACACAUUCUGCCUUGCUCCCCGGGGCAACCUUCUAUGUUUUAGAUCCACUCUUUUUUUUUGAGAGAUAAUGGGCAGCCUCAUUCAUACAUUUCAGAACUGUUCAGUACAAACUAUAUUCCUGAUAACUUCAGGAGAUACAUUAAACCAGCAUGACCCUUCAUCAUGUUCAGCAGACUUUGCUAGAACAUGUGCUGCCUCAUUACAACUUCGACUAACAUGAGUAAAACAACAGGAUAAGAACCUUGGAGCCCUACUCUUAAUAUCAAAAACUACAGCACCUGUGUGAGACCUGUCAUCCACUUUACUCUUAAUUUUGUUGAUCAAACUGGCACAAUCUGUCUCCACAAGGAUUUUCUGGAAACUGGAAUCUUCAGCAAAAAACAACGCAUGGCGCAUUGCAAUAAGCUUCACCCAGCUCCGGAUUAUCAACAUGAUGAAUAAACCCUCUGCUUGCUGCCAGCACCAGACCUAGAUGAUUUCGGAUCACAACACCAAUGCCCAUGCGUUUAGUCUGGGCAAAAAUCGCAGCAUCAACAUUGACCUUGACCGACUCAGCCGGCGGCGGAGACCACUUCGGGAUUGACACCUGGUGCUCACGCCUAUUGGAGCCAGUCGACCUGAAAUUGUGCAAUAAGAUGAAAUCGACAUAAGCUCUGUGAUCCUCAUUGGGCUGGUUGAGCUAUCCAACAAGUUUCUAGCUGAGGCAAUUUGAAAAGCUCGAGCUCCCUAAACCAGUCUACUUCGUACGUAGGCUUGAGGAGGGUGGAUAUGUGUCGGUAGUUGAGUUUUACCCCACAAAGGAGCAUUUCUGCAUUUCAGCAGAACGAAUUGCGCUGUCAGACCCGUAUGUAAGGAUGGGGUGUUAUCGAUGAAUCAGGAUGGGGUGUUAUCGAUCAAUCACGCGGCUGUUCGAGCCCUCAGGUUCAUGGAACGGAGAGAGCACAAGGUGCUUCUUGAUUUCAACUAUGAGCAUCUGCAAGAAGAAAAAAAAAGGCAUAUGCAAGCAUCACAAACAAGCUACUCGAAAAAGGAAAAGAAAUUAAGAAGCACAAGAAGACCAUCAAACAGAUGACUAGGGAAGGGUGCGAGUAUGUGGAUGAAGUGUGUGUUGCACCAAACGAAAUCCAUUAUCAUGCUGGAGCUACCUACUGCUUCUUCAAUGACAGACAUGCUCUUCUGGAGAUUCAUGAUGUCGUGGUUGAACUUCAAAGCAUUACAAGCGCGGCAUGUCUCUCACUGCAGCAGAAAGGUAUAUACCCAUAUGAUCCAAGCUCAGACUCAAGUUGUGGUGUGGAUUUUGUUAAUGAGAUGGGUGAUGGCUACAACUAUGAGUGAUCACCGUAGGCAUAGGCUUACUCUUAGGCAGUCUGGUAUGCAUACUAAACGCAGCUAUGAACACUAUGCGUUGUACUGACUUUGAUGCAUCUCUCUCCAUGUAACUUUGCUUAUCAUAAACUAAUCUCAAGCCUUUCUUUUGGCCUAUGAACCUACCUUUAAUGUAAUAGAUAACGCUAUCAUACAUAAAUAUCUACUUCCUUGCUUCAAAGAUUUAAUGACUGGUCUCUAAAUAUUCUUUUCUUCCAUGGUUCGCUCUCGCCCUUUGCGCCAUUGGCGCAACGGGACGGGCUCCCCUGCAUCCUCCUCCUCGCGCGGGCGAGGACGACGCCUCCGGAGUGAGCUGAGGGUGGGGGGCGGGUCAAGGCUGCUGUUGGCGGCCUGGAUGCAGGCGAUGGUGGCGGCCGGCGGGGGUCUGGCGGGCGAGGGAAGGAGCAGCAAGACUGGUGAUGGGCCAAGCGCCACCAGAGGAGGGGGAAGGGGCGACUUCGUGCUUCGCAACAACAGUUCGUGUCCAUGAAAAAAUUGUGGUGGUGAUGGUUGAUCUAAGUAUCAGAUUGGUUAUAUGGAAAUGGGGCUUUACUUCCGGAGAUGUUCCCAAUGAAGGAGCUUCGAGGCGAGCACUCCAAUGAUGUAGUUUUGUAUAUGGCAUAAUCUUUAAUGAAGAUGAUCGGGAAAGCUCAAGGACAGCCCCUGGUUGAGGAGGCCGAGGAAAGCCCACAGUCGAGGAGGGGAUGCUCGGCACAGCUAGGGUUUGGGUGGGGGUUGGUUCCAACACCGAUGAUGACAUUGGCCAACAGCGGCACAUCCCUCGAUUUCCAUAACCUCACACCAUGAGUAUGAGGUUAAAUUUGUUUAAAGAUGAUGCUAUGCAAAAUGCGUAAGCUGGGGAUGGCAUGACAGUGCAUGGUGAUGCUGUCGGUCGAGAAGUACCAUGCCGCUCUUGCCUUCCCUGCCAAUGCUUCCUCCUACCAUGCUAGCCAUGUGUGCCCUCACCUUUGUUCAUCAAUUCGUGUGCAGUUAUUCAGAGAACACCACAUGUCACAUGAAUUCUAGACUACUUGUCUACAGUUAACUGAACCAGGUCUUGAGUUUGCUUGCUUAAUCGUGUCCCUGUGUAAUUGCUCACCAAGCUCGCCAAUGUGAGUUUGUCCCACAUAAUGGAGUUUCUAUGAAUUUUUGUAGUCCAGAAAUUCUUGGAAAUUCUCUUGUUGCUGUUAUAAUGUGGGUGUGUUCGGCUUCCUUCUUCAUUAAAGUUUGACAAGAGUCGUAAAACCAAUGGAUAAGAGACUGUUUGAUGGUGAAAGCAUUUAUGCUCGUGGUGACUACCUCAAGUGUGCCAGAAUGGCUGCUGUUAAACAAGAGGAGGUAGACACAGCCAAUGAUACCAGCGGUGGCCAAAUUACCCAUGACGAACCACUAUGUCGGAAGCACAAUAAGCGACACGAGUAUAUUCAUCGCCCACGCAAAGCAAGCUUAAUCCAAAAGUUCAAAGGCAAGAAAAUCCAUCUAAAGCCUGGAAAGUCCAUUCUCCGUGGUGAGCCUUGCAAGCACUACUUAGAUGAGUUUAGUCACCACGUUACGUUGUGUGGGGCAACACAGUUAGGCUCUACAACAUAAUGUUCGUGCACUGCGAAAGAUCAUCCGCAGCACCACCACGCCUAAUAACUACUAUGUGUGCCACAUGACAGAAACAUUUGCAACACAAGGCAAAAGAAUGUACUUUAAUGUCCACUUUUCUACGGGUUCCCUUUUCCCACACAUGAAUGCUGACCACGGUGAACUUCCAAUCACAACUGGAGACGGAACAACCACCGUCACGGUCCGCUUUAUCAAGGGAGUUGACAAAAGGGCCACCAUCACUAAAGGCUGGAGCGACUUCUUUCGUCGGACCCACAUGAACGAAGGGCAAGCAUAUGCUUUCGGCUUUAAAUGCACUUCCAAGGGAUUGCGCCUGAUUGUCUACUCAAUAUAAGCAAGCUGCAGGAGCCCCUUGCUAUAUAACAUAGUAUUAGUAUAAAUGCCUACAAAGACAUCUAUGUUUAUCCUCCUUUUUGAUCUUCUGUAAUCCCCUAAGACAGUGUUGUGCAUUUAGCUAUCGAUUAUCCGCUACUUAGACUGCUCUAUCGCAUGCUUUUGAAACAACCAUGAUAAAGGAAAUAUAUGCUCCUUCAAGUGCA